CGCGUGGGAAUCUACCCAGUAGUGGGGGACAACAGUUGGAAACGACUGCUAAUACCGCAUACGCCCUAAGGGGGAAAGCAGGGGACUCUUCGGAGCCUUGUGCUAUUGGAUGAGCCCGCGUGAGAUUAGAUAGUUGGUGAGGUAAUGGCUCACCAAGUCUACGAUCUCUAGCUGGUCUGAGAGGAUGAUCAGCCACACUGGAACUGAGACACGGCCCAGACUCCUACGGGAGGCAGCAGUGGGGAAUCUUAGACAAUGGGGGCAACCCUGAUCUAGCCAUGCCGCGUGUGUGAUGAAGGC
This 300-nucleotide ribosomal RNA is filed under the name uncultured Alteromonadaceae bacterium. Its description in RNAcentral is "bacterial SSU rRNA". It matches the Rfam family "Bacterial small subunit ribosomal RNA", at positions 114 to 415 of the family's 1533-position model. The record is from RNAcentral. Lineage: Bacteria; Pseudomonadati; Pseudomonadota; Gammaproteobacteria; Alteromonadales; Alteromonadaceae.